CCUGCAGUCUGCAUAAUGAAUGUGUAUGCUGAGUAAGGCGUGCAGCAGAAUGGAUUCAAAUGAAACGAUCCUUAAACCAUGGGGGUUUUGUAUACAACUAGGUGUGAGGGUGAGGGGUGAGGGGUAAGUAUGUGUGUUCGUUUGUUUGUGUUUUAAAUACACUUACCACCAAAGAGAGUAGCAAGUUAAUUUCCAUUGGGUACUGGGGGAAGGAGGCAGGUCAUUAUCAGUAUUUAUCAUAGUCUGGUAAUGUUUCAGUUUCCUGUUUAUGAUGCCUUUCCUUUGAGGGCGCGCUAGACAUCACGCUCUGAGACCAGCUUGCUGGUCUGAGAGGAGUUUUUGCACAAUGCUGGAGGUGCAGCUCUCUCUGUGGCUCAGUCUGACUCUCAGGCCACUGACUCAAAACAAAACCCCUGAGCUCUGCCUUUGUGGUUUCCUCUGCAUGCACCCCCUUUCAUAUGGUACUUGGUCCCUCCAUCUCUGUCUCUCUCGCUUUCUUCCUUUCUCUCUCUCUCGUGUUUGUCUCCUCUGGUACUUCAGAGGGGGCAGAACUAUAUUUGCUCUUUUGAGAUAAUCAGUGAUUCAGUUUUGUUAUGAGGAAUAAUUCAUUCCUCAGCACUCUGAUCAGAGGGCCUAUCAGAAAUCCAUCUCAGACAGUUUGAAAGCUUUCUAAUCAUGGACUUUCUUUAGCCAUUUUUUUCCCCCCUGAGCUAGCGAGCCAAUUUUAACAAGAUGUGAGCAAAUUUAAGUAAUAUACUGUAGACUGGGCGCAACUUUUUGAUUGCAAGUGUAACAAGUGUUUCAAUACUAACACCGUUACUAGAAUGGAUAAAAUCAGGUAAGUAUGGACCAGAUCAGAAGACAACAGAUUUGACUCGAGAGAGAGAGAGAGAGAGAGAGAGACGGUUUGCACAUCAAGAAUGAAGCACACGGAAGCAGGAUCUAUAUUUCAAAGGUCAAUCACAUGGGUGGCUCGUCAGUCCGCACGCCGCUGUAGCUCUCCAGGGAAGGCAAGCAGGGGCAGAGGAAUCCAGGAUCCAGCACAGCAGUUCAAAUCGAACAACAAAAAACCAACACACACACAAAAAAAAAAAACCCGGCCUUGCAACACAAA
This is a long non-coding RNA of Anguilla anguilla (European eel), 1114 nucleotides long. RefSeq lists it as uncharacterized. The record is from RefSeq and is a predicted model, not a curated record. Lineage: Eukaryota; Metazoa; Chordata; Actinopteri; Anguilliformes; Anguillidae. The transcript is spliced from 2 exons.